GAUGAACGCUGGCGGCGUGCCUAAUACAUGCAAGUCGAGCGAAUGGAUUAAGAGCUUGCUCUUAUGAAGUUAGCGGCGGACGGGUGAGUAACACGUGGGUAACCUGCCCAUAAGACUGGGAUAACUCCGGGAAACCGGGGCUAAUACCCGAUAACAUUUUGAACCGCAUGGUUCGAAAUUGAAAGGCGGCUUCGGCUGUCACUUAUGGAUGGACCCGGGUCGCAUUAGCUAGGUGGUGAGGUAACGGCUCACCAAGGCAACGAUGCGUAGCCGACCUGAGAGGGUGAUCGGCCACACUGGGACUGAGACACGGCCCAGACUCCUACGGGAGGCAGCAGUAGGGAAUCUUCCGCAAUGGACAAAAGUCUGACGGAGCAACGCCGCGGGAGGGAUGAAGGCUUUCGGGUCGUAAAACUCUGUUGUUAGGGAAGAACAAGUGCUAGUUGAAUAAGCUGGCACCUUGACGGUACCUAACCAGAAAGCCACGGCUAACUACGUGCCAGCCGCCGCGGUAA
Molecule: ribosomal RNA, 515 nt
Filed under: uncultured bacterium
Lineage: Bacteria
Description: partial 16S ribosomal RNA
Rfam family: Bacterial small subunit ribosomal RNA
Source: RNAcentral